GACGCCGUUCGUUCUGGCCAUCAUGCUGGAGCUGCAAAACGGCUUCCAAUUGCCGUGAUGCUGCUGGUGAUUAUGGAGAUGAACGGAGCUGACGUGGUCCUGCUGCACCUGCUCGGCGUGCUGUUUUUCCUUGGUCGCCUGAUGCACUUUCACGGCUUACGCAGCCGAACCCUGCUGUGGCGCCGCAAUGGCAUGAUUUUAACGCUGCUCUCCAUGUUCGACAUGGUUGUCACCAAUCUGGUGUUCCUGCCAUGGGACUAGUUUUUA
This 267-nucleotide ribosomal RNA is filed under the name Candidatus Erwinia dacicola. Its description in RNAcentral is "partial 16S ribosomal RNA". The record is from RNAcentral. Lineage: Bacteria; Pseudomonadati; Pseudomonadota; Gammaproteobacteria; Enterobacterales; Erwiniaceae.